GAAAAGUACCCCGGAAGGGGAGUGAAAGAGAACUUGAAACCGUGUGCUUACAAGUAGUCAGAGCCCGUUUAUGGGUGAUGGCGUGCCUUUUGUAGAAUGAACCGGCGAGUUACGAUCUGAUGCAAGGUUAAGCAGCGAAUGUGGAGCCGUAGCGAAAGCGAGUCUGAAUAGGGCGUUGAGUAUUUGGUCGUAGACCCGAAACCAGGUGAUCUACCCUUGGUCAGGUUGAAGUUCAGGUAACACUGAAUGGAGGACCGAACCGACUUACGUUGAAAAGUGAGCGGAUGAACUGAGGGUAGCGGAGAAAUUCCAAUCGAACUUGGAGAUAGCUGGUUCUCUCCGAAAUAGCUUUAGGGCUAGCCUCAAGUGAUGAUUAUUGGAGGUAGAGCACUGUUUGGACGAGGGGCCCCUCUCGGGUUACCGAAUUCAGACAAACUCCGAAUGCCAAUCAAUUUAACUUGGGAGUCAGAACAUGGGUGAUAAGGUCCGUGUUCGAAAGGGAAACAGCCCAGACCACCAGCUAAGGUCCCAAAAUAUAUGUUAAGUGGAAAAGGAUGUGGCGUUGCCCAGACAACUAGGAUGUUGGCUUAGAAGCAGCCAUCAUUUAAAGAGUGCGUAAUAGCUCACUAGUCGAGUGACACUGCGCCGAAAAUGUACCGGGGCUAAACAUAUUACCGAAGCUGUGGAUUGUCCUUCGGACAAUGGUAGGAGAGCGUUCUAAGGGCGUUGAAGCAUGAUCGCAAGGACAUGUGGAGCGCUUAGAAGUGAGAAUGCCGGUGUGAGUAGCGAAAGACGGGUGAGAAUCCCGUCCACCGAUUGACUAAGGUUUCCAGAGGAAGGCUCGUCCGCUCUGGGUUAGUCGGGUCCUAAGCUGAGGCCGACAGGCGUAGGCGAUGGAUAACAGGUUGAUAUUCCUGUACCACCUAGUAUCGUUUUAAUCGAUGGGGGGACGCAGUAGGAUAGGCGAAGCGUGCUGUUGGAGUGCACGUCCA
Molecule: ribosomal RNA, 992 nt
Filed under: Escherichia coli
Lineage: Bacteria; Pseudomonadati; Pseudomonadota; Gammaproteobacteria; Enterobacterales; Enterobacteriaceae
Description: partial 23S ribosomal RNA
Rfam family: Bacterial large subunit ribosomal RNA
Source: RNAcentral